Paramuricea clavata is the source of this 360-nucleotide non-coding RNA. NCBI's taxonomy places the organism in Eukaryota, Metazoa, Cnidaria, Anthozoa, Malacalcyonacea, Plexauridae. The record is from the annotation of a GenBank genome assembly.
AUCGUUAAAGUCGUUAAAAAUAAAACAGCGUAAAUUUAAUUGAAUUUCAAGCGAAUCCUUCGUAGUGUAGUGGUUUGGCACCUCUCUCCUCCACAGAGGCAAUUGGACGCCAAGUUCUGGGAUCGAUUCCUGCUCGCGCCACUAUUUUAUUAUUUUUUUUUAUACUUUUUUUUCCUUCGUGAUUUUCGCUUACGCACCGCGUACGAAACGUAUAGCGUAUCGAAUAUGUUGUUGCUUCGUUCUUAAGAAACAACGCAACCCUUUUAGUGGUUUAUUGUUAGCUUUUAAAGCGUUGUCGGAUGAAUAGCCGUGAAGCAGGAAGAUCCGGUGUCGGACGAAUAUCCACGGGGUUUAUAAUAU